CAUCAUGUCACUGAUCAAGAAAGGUGUAACUGCUGGAGAUCUUCACAAAGCAUUGCUCCUCUCAAUUCCUUCAUGUUGCUGCUCAACUUCUUCCUUUCACCAAGAAAGUGGAAAUCAACAGAUUCUUGUUUAUUGAGACAUGAAACGGUCAUACUUCCUUUCACCAAGAGAGUGGAAACCAACAGAUUCUUGUUUAUUGAGACAUGAAACGGUCAUAUUUUGUAAAUGAUAGCUCAAAACAGAUUGUAUGGCAGAAGAAAAAUAGGGAACUGAAAUUUGUUUCAUUAGAGAUGGAAUAGAGCUUUAACAUUCUCAUCUUGGAGUAGCACUAUUAUUUUAUUGCAGGCAAUUGACUUUGUCUAUCAAAAACUUAGAGACGUAUGAAUCAAAACAACACAAGUCUAAAUGACAUGAAAA
RNAcentral lists this long non-coding RNA (417 nucleotides) under Nicotiana benthamiana. Its description in RNAcentral is "long non-coding RNA (NBEN_LNC038104)". The record is from RNAcentral. Lineage: Eukaryota; Viridiplantae; Streptophyta; Magnoliopsida; Solanales; Solanaceae.